AUGUACAUGAGCUUCUGUACUCCAGCUUAUCUUUGUUCAUGGACGACUGGCCUGCAAAAACUCACUCCGACACCUCCUGCGUGGCUUCCCCUGCGCCUCUCGUGGCCACUUUUCUCUGACUCCGGCAUAGAAAAUGGUCUCUCGCAUGAAAAUGUUCUAUGUUGGAUGAACAAUCCAUAUGCAUGGGUAGUUCAUUGGGCCGACAGCAAUCCGGUGGCCCUCGGCAUCGACCUCGGUGUCAUGAAGAACAUCCAAGAUUAUAUGGUCGAGAAGCUCAGCGUCGACAAGAGCAUCAUCCUAGAGCUCUGCAUCAUCCUCUACAAGCAAGCCAUUGUGCACCAAUUUGACGACGAUGAUUUCCACAGCUUUGUUCAUGGAUGGCUGGCUUACAAAAAGCUCACGCCGACGCCUCCGGUGUGGCUUCCCCUACGCCUCCAGCAUAGAAAUGGUCUCUUGCAUGCAAAUGUUCUGUGUUUGAUCAAUCCAAAUCUGCAGUUGUCUCCCCAUGUAAUGGCAUCAAGUUCAGAGCGCCCCAACUGCCUCUCCUUCGACCGUGGUUCAGGUAGUGGCUCGGUCUCCACUGUACUCUAUCCCUUGCUCUAUGGUGCCUGGCCAUUGUGCUUAGUCCAUGCUGUGAUCCUUGUUGUCGAGCCUUGGUUCUCUAGUGUAGUGUUUGGCCUGUGGGGUGGACUGGGCAACAAUUCUGAGAUUUGUGGUGUCUUUUGGACCGAUAUAAAACACUUAGCUUGUGAACUUGCGUUGAUUUCUGAACCUAUGGAGAGCAUGUCUAAAGAAAAGAAAAACCUGGAUAAUCAUGGUUGUUACAGGCCUAGGGAAAUUGAUACACUCAUGGGCCACCUGAUGUUGGUUGUCAAGCUUGUUUGCUGCGACCAUCAGCCGAUGUAUCCUUCAUCAGUGCACGGCCAUGGCGAUGAAAUGCUGCGUUGA
Molecule: ribosomal RNA, 948 nt
Filed under: Triticum aestivum (bread wheat)
Lineage: Eukaryota; Viridiplantae; Streptophyta; Magnoliopsida; Poales; Poaceae
Description: partial small subunit ribosomal RNA
Source: RNAcentral